UGAGAGGCUUAUAUUUAACAGGUUAAG
RNAcentral lists this non-coding RNA (27 nucleotides) under Rattus norvegicus (Norway rat). Lineage: Eukaryota; Metazoa; Chordata; Mammalia; Rodentia; Muridae. The record is from RNAcentral.